CCUCCCCCUUCACCAGAGCAGGGCAGCCACGGAAGGCUUGGCUCGAUUUCAGGGAGGCUCAGAUCCUACAGCCACGUCAAUCACGUCUUCACCGCUGGGGUGUUCUGGCUCCCUUCUUCAGUGAAAAGAUGUAUAGUAGUGUGACUCAACUGUUACUAACAAAGACAUUACCCAUGGCCUACCAUAUCACACCAAAAUUAAAUGACUAAAUCAAGAACCGUGCUGAACCAUUUAUUUGAGAUAUGACUGUUGUGU
Molecule: long non-coding RNA, 255 nt
Organism: Archocentrus centrarchus (flier cichlid)
Lineage: Eukaryota; Metazoa; Chordata; Actinopteri; Cichliformes; Cichlidae
Exons: 3
Source: RefSeq, a predicted model, not a curated record